Dalotia coriaria is the source of this 484-nucleotide long non-coding RNA. RefSeq lists it as uncharacterized. The transcript has 2 exons. NCBI's taxonomy places the organism in Eukaryota, Metazoa, Arthropoda, Insecta, Coleoptera, Staphylinidae. The record is from RefSeq and is a predicted model, not a curated record.
UGUGGUCGCGCUCCGGCUGAGUCGGGCGCGCGCGCGCUCGCGAGUCUAGCGGCGGCGGAUCGCGCCGGACAGUCGACUUCAGUUCAUCAGCGGCGUCCAUGUUACACAUUCGAUACGCCAGCCACCACGAUCUACAUCCAAUUGGACAUCUCAUUCAUUACAAAAAUUAUCCAAGUGUAUUAAGUGUGCUCCCACGUUCAACUGCACAAAGGAAACGAAAUUACUCAAGUUGAGAUUAAAUCCACAACAAAGAGGAUUGUGAAGACGUUGGAUCCAUCUGGCCGACGUCAGCGACUCAGAGAAGUGUAGAAGUGUUGUUAAUUACCGUCAGACGAGAUUUAUUUGUGUAAUAGAAAGGAGAGGAGGCUCUCGGUUUCAUGGUCGUCAGUACUUUAGCAUUUCACAUGUUACAAGAUGUAAUUUCAACGCACAAAAACAUAAUUAACAAUUCCCGAUUGGGUUUUGGAUGAAAAACAGUGAGAAG